CGGUUAAAAAGCUCGUAGUUGGAUUUCUGUCGGUGAGGUUCAGUCCGCCCAAGCGGUAGGUACGUGAUCCGCCACCGGCAUCUUCCUGGGGAAUGUGUCUGCUCUUUAUUGAGUGGUACAUAAGCCAGGACUUUUACUUUGAAGAAAUGAGAGUGUUUCAAGCAGGCAUGCGCCGUGAAUACGUUAGCAUGGGAUAAUAGCAUCGGACCUCGUUCCAAAGCUGUUGGUUUCUUGGACCGAGGUAAAGGUGAAUAGGGAUUGUUGGGGGCAUUCGUAUUUGACUGUCAGAGGUGAAAUUCUUGGAUUUGUUGAAGACGGACUACUGCGAAAGCAUCUGCCAAAGAUGUUCUCAUUGAUCAAGAACGAAAGUUAGGUGAUCGAAGACGAUCAGAUACCGUCCUAGUCUUAACCAUAAACUAUGCCGACUGGAGAUCGGGGGUCGUUAAUUAUGUGACGCCCUCUGCAUCUUGAGAGAAAUCAAAGUCUUUGGGUUCCGGGGGGAGUAUGGUCGCAAGGCUGAAACUUAAAGGAAUUGACGGAAGGGCACCACCAGGAGUGGAGCCUGCCGCUUAAUUUGACUC
RNAcentral lists this ribosomal RNA (581 nucleotides) under uncultured marine eukaryote. RNAcentral's name for it is "SSU rRNA". It matches the Rfam family "Eukaryotic small subunit ribosomal RNA", at positions 616 to 1201 of the family's 1831-position model. The record is from RNAcentral.